UUGGUGUCUAUUUUUAAUUGUCGCACUAUUGGUGCUGACUGUUGAUGUUAGGUAGGCAGCUACAGUAGCUGAAUGAUGUUAACAUCUUCGGGUUUUGUUUCAUUAAAUGCAUUUAAUUUCAUCUGGGUGCUUGCGUUACCUACUAACACCCUGGUACCCGUAGCUCCCGUUCUCCUCAGUCCGAGAAAACACUGAGAGAAAGGUAUGUGUUGCAGAUUACUCCUUUGUAGAAGUCCAUAACGUGAAAUAAAUAAAACAUCCCAAGAUUAAUGCUGUAUAUAUUGUUAUAAGUUAGUGUGAGAUUAUUGAAACAUGUAACUUUCAGAGUUUUAUUAUUGUUAUUAAUAUAGUUUACAAAGUGCUAAAAGUGCUGCUGUUGCUAGCUAGCAUGCCUUUCUGUGAUGCAGAUGGUUAGCUGAGCUGUCGACUGGUGCUUGCGUUGCAUUAUGGGAGAUGUAGUUUUGGCCCUCUAAGGUCUGAAUGGGAAAGAGACAAUUUCACGUUUUACUUGUUUGUGUUGCAGUGUUUUUGUACAUGAGUUGUAUUUUGGUACUGUAUUUUGGUACUGUCAACACUGAAAGCACCUAGCAAUGUAUUGGGUAUGUGUUUUACCUUUCUUCAUGCUCCUGUGUAGAACAACUUGUCAGAUGGUGCAUUGGAGACUGAUGUGUUCCUGUUCUGUCUUUUCAUAAUACCAUUGCAGGUGGACUCCAAUCAAGUUGUAGGAACAUCUCAAGGAUGACCAAUGGAAACAGGAUGCACCUGAGCUCAAUUUCAAGUCUCAUAGCAAAGGGUCUGAACAAGGUACUUCAGAUUAUUUUUUUUUUGCCAACAUUUCUAAAAACCUGUUUUCGUUUUGUUAUUUUGGGGUAUUAUGUGUAAAUUGAUGAGGAUUUAGUUUUAUUUAAACAAUUUUAGAAUAAGGCUGUAAUGUAACAAAAUGUGGGAAAAGUCAAGGGGUCUGAAUACUUCCGGAAUGCACUGUGUCAUACUCUGCUUCCACCGGGCAUUCCACUGAUUUUAAAACUCUGUCCUUCAGCAAGACUUAUGCAGUUCUUCGUAAUUUGUUUCAAAAUAGCAUAGUUAGAAAGGAUUACCUACACAUCCUGAGCAGCUCAUGUUAUAGACAGAAGCGUGCAACAUGGGUUCCUUUCUUCCUGUCUUUUUCAGUGUCUAAACCAACUAGGCUCGUAUUAACAAUUUUAUUAGUAUUUACAGAUGGCAUACAAGUUUGUUGUUGAGGCACAUGAAAGUUCACAUUUUCCAGAAGGCAUUUCUGCCAAAAAAUGCAUUAUGCAAAAUAAAAUAUUGUUUACAUUCAAAUGCCUCUCCUGUAGAGUAGCGACGCAAGACAUACGCUUAGUUUCCUGAAAUGAGUAACAGUUGUCAAAAGUACAGAGAUGUGAUCAAUGUAUUCGUUCAUACAAGCACAAAUGACUCCAUCAGGUCAGAUCUAAUCCUGCUUGCCCAGUUCUGGCACCCGUAUCCAGACAGAGGUUUGGUGUUUGCAGGGAUGGUACAGUAAAUGGGGGGCCACCUCGUCCCCCAAAAGCCUACGGGGGGCACCGCUGAGACAUUUAAAUGCCAAACACUUUUCGGAGGGGGAAAUUUGCCAGGAGUCCAUGGUUUGGAGGGAUGGAGUCACACGUCACACAUUCUGUGGCAUGUCACAGAUCACAUCAGGCCCCAUUAAUUGUAUGUCUUUUCUCAACAUCCUAUAUACAAUUGUAGGUUAAUGAUUUCUUAACAGAUUAUUUGGGCCUGACAUUUAUAGCAUGCUAAAUGGGGUUUAGUAUAUGACUAACAAUCAAAUGUAAAGACACAGAUAUGCAAUUUGGUUGUAUUAUCCCUGUAUCAUUGUUGAGAACAGAGCAUUUAUUUAUUAAUGUGAUCAGCAGAUUCUUUUAACUCUUCUGCAAGCUGCUCUGUGGAUGUUGUUGGUUCAUCAGAUUCUGAUGACACUGUUACUCUGACACAAAGUCCUAGCAGAAACAGGAGAGCAGAGGAAGAUAGUGCAGCCAAAGUAAGCCUUUCAUUAUUUGCUUUGAUUGUCUUUUUUAUCAUUCAAAACUGUAUUGAUCUUCCUGAGGUUCCAUCUUUGUGAUGUUGGGUUGGCCUACUCCCGGUGAGUUACAUAGUAUGUAGGCUUUUUUCAGUCCUGCUCUUAUCGACUUAAAUCAUCUUGGAAGAUCCUAAUGUGCAGCUUAGUGAUAUAGCCACGUGUUGGAGCAGGGCUGAAAGCAAUGCUUGCACAGUAGCUCUCCAGGAGGAUGGCUGGCUAACACUGAGCUCUUUCUCAAUUUGUCUAUCCUUGUCUCCUUGUGUCCUUGUCUCAUCCUUCUGAAAACCAACUACGGAACAAUGAAUUAGGAGAUGAGCAUUGGGUCUUAUUAUCAAAUGUGAUUUGAGAAGCAGGCGAGGAAUCACAAAAACAUAUUUUGAGAAAGAACACUGGUGUACUAGGGUCUGUUUCUGUUGUGCCUUUUGUUAGAUUAUUGAGGACAUUCUCCAGUGAAAAGCUGGAGGGGAAAGGAUCAUGAACAAGUGUGCUCGGACAAAAAGCUUGACUGACCGCACCAGACGUAAUACGAUCAAUCUAGUCAUUAUUAUUAUUUUUGGUUCAUAGCAAGUCCCGCACGACAUGUGAAGGAAGCAUAUGCAAGAGGAAUAGUUUCCUUCUUUCCGUACCUGGCCGACCCCAAAAGCAAGACUGACUAUGCCGCAACAAGCCGGGAAAGAUGUCAGCAAGACACGCAGCUGAACAUCUUGUGAAGUUCAUGAAGGUAAUGGCUUCCUGAAGUUCUCCAAGCAGCUGAUUGGUCAGCCCCAUUGCUGAUUGGAGAGCUGACCCCGCCCCCUCGUCAGGACGCAGCUGUCUCAAUUAACAACCCCAAUAUAAGCCAGUGUGCUGUUGCUCAGAGAAAGAGAGAGACACAGAGAUUUUUGCUGAGAGAGGAGGUUGAUGGCAGAGGGUUAUAUAUAUAUAUAUAUAUAUAUAUAUAUAUAUAUAUAUAUAUAUAUAUGUAUGUAUGUAUGUUGGUUGUUUCUCAGAAAGAGAAUUGGGUAUGUACUGAGUUAGUUGUUGCUGAGAAAGCUUAUUGUUAUGUUCUGUGUUUAGUGCUCAGAGUUUUCUUUAAUGUCCUGGGUUAGUGUUUUCUCAGGUUUUGUUGUAAAGUAGUUUGUACAUUUGUGUUACUCUGUUUCAUUUGUUCCCAGAGGGGAAGGGGAAGGCACCUAGGCAGUGCUUAGGCAAGAGGCCCGCGGGCAUACAUAUACCGUAGUAAUUUAUUGUCUAUGCACACUAGGAAAGACCUGGGCGGACCAUCCCCUGUAUUUUGGUUAGUGCACCAGGUGGUGCUAGUUAGGUAAGUAGUGGGUAGGCAGGUAAGGUAGGAGAGGGGGCUUUGAUAUUUAGUUUCUUUGCUUUGGUUCGGUCCAGCCCCUUUUCCCCAAACUUACCGCGUGAAGGAAUAAAUUCCCAG
Molecule: long non-coding RNA, 3482 nt
Filed under: Salmo salar (Atlantic salmon)
Lineage: Eukaryota; Metazoa; Chordata; Actinopteri; Salmoniformes; Salmonidae
Description: lncRNA (ENSSSAG00000095106.1, ENSSSAG00000116198.1)
Source: RNAcentral